Molecule: ribosomal RNA, 1172 nt
Filed under: Escherichia coli
Lineage: Bacteria; Pseudomonadati; Pseudomonadota; Gammaproteobacteria; Enterobacterales; Enterobacteriaceae
Description: bacterial LSU rRNA
Rfam family: Bacterial large subunit ribosomal RNA
Source: RNAcentral
GUGACUGCGUACCUUUUGUAUAAUGGGUCAGCGACUUAUAUUCUGUAGCAAGGUUAACCGAAUAGGGGAGCCGAAGGGAAACCGAGUCUUAACUGGGCGUUAAGUUGCAGGGUAUAGACCCGAAACCCGGUGAUCUAGCCAUGGGCAGGUUGAAGGUUGGGUAACACUAACUGGAGGACCGAACCGACUAAUGUUGAAAAAUUAGCGGAUGACUUGUGGCUGGGGGUGAAAGGCCAAUCAAACCGGGAGAUAGCUGGUUCUCCCCGAAAGCUAUUUAGGUAGCGCCUCGUGAAUUCAUCUCCGGGGGUAGAGCACUGUUUCGGCAAGGGGGUCAUCCCGACUUACCAACCCGAUGCAAACUGCGAAUACCGGAGAAUGUUAUCACGGGAGACACACGGCGGGUGCUAACGUCCGUCGUGAAGAGGGAAACAACCCAGACCGCCAGCUAAGGUCCCAAAGUCAUGGUUAAGUGGGAAACGAUGUGGGAAGGCCCAGACAGCCAGGAUGUUGGCUUAGAAGCAGCCAUCAUUUAAAGAAAGCGUAAUAGCUCACUGGUCGAGUCGGCCUGCGCGGAAGAUGUAACGGGGCUAAACCAUGCACCGAAGCUGCGGCAGCGACGCUUAUGCGUUGUUGGGUAGGGGAGCGUUCUGUAAGCCUGUGAAGGUGUGCUGUGAGGCAUGCUGGAGGUAUCAGAAGUGCGAAUGCUGACAUAAGUAACGAUAAAGCGGGUGAAAAGCCCGCUCGCCGGAAGACCAAGGGUUCCUGUCCAACGUUAAUCGGGGCAGGGUGAGUCGACCCCUAAGGCGAGGCCGAAAGGCGUAGUCGAUGGGAAACAGGUUAAUAUUCCUGUACUUGGUGUUACUGCGAAGGGGGGACGGAGAAGGCUAUGUUGGCCGGGCGACGGUUGUCCCGGUUUAAGCGUGUAGGCUGGUUUUCCAGGCAAAUCCGGAAAAUCAAGGCUGAGGCGUGAUGACGAGGCACUACGGUGCUGAAGCAACAAAUGCCCUGCUUCCAGGAAAAGCCUCUAAGCAUCAGGUAACAUCAAAUCGUACCCCAAACCGACACAGGUGGUCAGGUAGAGAAUACCAAGGCGCUUGAGAGAACUCGGGUGAAGGAACUAGGCAAAAUGGUGCCGUAACUUCGGGAGAAGGCACGCUGAUAUGUAGGUGAAG